Zeugodacus cucurbitae (melon fly) is the source of this 2317-nucleotide long non-coding RNA. RefSeq lists it as uncharacterized. The record is from RefSeq and is a predicted model, not a curated record. NCBI's taxonomy places the organism in Eukaryota, Metazoa, Arthropoda, Insecta, Diptera, Tephritidae. The transcript is spliced from 4 exons.
UUUCAUAAGAAAAUAAACAAAACAAAGAAAUAGAUUAAGAAAAUUGUAAUCACUUUAGUAGUUAUAUAAGCAGAACAUAACUUGAAACAGCAGGGAAUAAAAUAUAAUGUCAUAGAAGUAACAUCGUCGGCAUUUUUAUUCCUCCGCUCGAACAAACCUAAAACUGGCGCAGUCGGUAAAAACAAACUGCAAAGUUGAGCGAUACUAAAAACGGAAGUUUUUAAGUUUCGUAAGCUUUAGCAACGGGAAGCAAAUCCUAAGAUUAGCUCCCAUUUUAAAAAGAUCUCUUAUAUAUAUAUAAAUACAUAAGUCGGACUCCGAGGAUUACAAUUUGUGAAGGCGACGAAUAGAUUCAUUCCGCCCAUCAACAUUACCAGGAAAAGUGGGAUUAAAGAUUAAUGCCCCACACACAGAAGACGCAGAAAGAGCGAUCAGCAAUGCAUCCAGGUGAGCAGCAACCACUUCAGAUGACAGGAUCGCAAAUUUUGAAGAAUCAUGGACUUUGAUCAGAGAUUUAUCAUCGUUCAUCAGGGAAGUUGACAUGAUCCUUCCUUUAUUCAACCCCAACCCAUCAAUGUUGGAAUUUGCAACGCAGCGACACGUCAAAACAAAAAUUAAAGGAGAAGCAGCAAGUGUCAUCCGGCCUUUGGGACCUACACCAACAUGGCAGCAAAUGAGAGAAGAACUCAUAAAGAAUUUUGGAGUAAAGGAGUCGUACCACACCCUUUACAAUCAGGCGAUUGUACUACGAAACUAUAACUUAGAUUUUCGUUUUCAACAAUGCCACCAACCAGACAUACAAACUUAGGCCGCAGAACUCGAAAUACAGCAAAUCAAACUGAUGAGCAACGCGAAGCACGAAAUGAACUUCAAAGGAAUCGAAAACAACAUAGAAAUGUUAAGUUUAAUCCCUACAGAGCUGCAUUCAGUUAUAAUGUGGCAAUUGAUUACAGUUCAGAGCAAAUUGUUGCUAUUGGAUUAAUGAAUAUUGUGUGUCCACAUUGUAAUGCAUUGAAAUUCAAAAAUGAAGCCCCUGGCUUGUGUUGCGCCAGCGGUCAAGUCAAAUUGACGCCAUUGGUACCACCACCAGAACCACUACAUUCAUUGGUUUCUGGAAAUGGGCCAGGUUCUAAUCAUUUUUUGACUCAUAUCCAACAAUAUAAUAAUUGCUUUCAAAUGACAUCAUUUGGCGCAACAAAAGUUAUAAUGGCAAACAAUUUUAUUUAGUUUUACAACCAUGUAGCUGAUGCAAAAUAUGUUGAGCCAGUGCUGUGUAGAUAUGUUUAUUUUGUAAACAAUAAGUCAAAUACAUAAUAAUAGUCAAUAGUCCAAUGACUUAAUCAGCAACAUUUUAUAGCAUAUUGUAUUUCAUAAUGGCAUGAGCAAGGUGUUCCAACACUUAGUAAAGCCUACUACCUAAAGCUGUCAUAGAAGGCUGCUGUUCAAUGUGGAGGUUUAAAGUAGUCAUAAUUUGAAAUAAUGUAAAGAAUUGUGGCAGUGUUUUGCGAGGCACAUGGUGGUACAAACAAUUUGCUAUACAAUUACUUAAAUAUAUAUUUAUAAUCUUGAUGAAGAUUCAGGGUCAAAUAUAUCAUCGAACAGGUUCCUUAUUGCCAAUGUCUGAUGAAGACUAUAAAUAUUUACAAAUAUAAUUUAUCGGCAAUUCAGCAAGAGAAGUCGAUCAGCGUUGCGCACACAACAACUCAGUGAAAAGAUCCAUUGUGGAACAACUUCAAACAUUUUUCCAUCAACAUAAUGAAUUAGUUGCAUUAUUCACAACUGCAUUAGACCGCAUGCCAUCAGAUAAUCAGAGCCGAUAAGGACGCCAACAAUUGAUGAAGUGGCUAUUGUCGUCGUGGGAGAAAAUUUGGACAACCGAGACAUUGUUUUACAUCAGCGGAACUAUCAACUUCAGCUUGUGUCUGAAACAUAUCGAUCAUAUGAUGCAUUAAAAUAUCCUAUCCUAUUUUGGCAAGGAGAAGACGGCUAUCAUUUUUCAAUUAAGAUGAUAAAUCCAGUUACAGACUGAUGGUUCGGGAAAAUGAGGACAAUCACAUCUUAAGUGGCUAUCAUUUUUCAAUUAAGAUGAUAAAUCCAGUUACAGACUGAUAGUUCGGGAAAAUGAGGACAAUCACAUCUUAAAGUGUCGAAACUGAACGAUUGACAUUUAUCAGGUUGAACCAGGCAAAACUCCGUUCCGAGGAAUACAUUCAUCUUCGGGAUGCCAUUAAUGCUGAUGGAAAUGCACAGAAUGUUGGCAGAACAACUAUACUCCCAGCAACAUACGUCGGAAGUCCGCGACAUAUGCAUGAAUAUG